GAUGAAGAACGUAGCAAACUGCGAUAAGUAAUGUGAAUUGCAGAAUUCAGUGAAUCAUCGAAUCUUUGAACGCACAUUGCGCCCGCCAGUAUUCUGGCGGGCAUGCCUGUUCGAGCGUCAUUACAACCCUCAGGCCCCCGGGCCUGGCGUUGGGGAUCGGCGGAGCCCCCCGUGGGCACACGCCGUCCCCCAAAUGCAGUGGCGGUCCCGCCGCAGCUUCCAUCGCGUAGUAGCUAACACCUCGCGACUGGAGAGCGGCGCGGCCACGCCGUAAAACACCCAACUCUUCUGAAGUUGACCUCGAAUCAGGUAGGAAUACCCGCUGAACUUAAGCAUAUCAAUAAGCGGAGGA
Molecule: unclassified non-coding RNA, 352 nt
Filed under: soil metagenome
Description: partial contains 5.8S ribosomal RNA, internal transcribed spacer 2, and large subunit ribosomal RNA
Rfam family: 5.8S ribosomal RNA (bases 1-120)
Source: RNAcentral